Molecule: long non-coding RNA, 1656 nt
Organism: Phyllostomus discolor (pale spear-nosed bat)
Lineage: Eukaryota; Metazoa; Chordata; Mammalia; Chiroptera; Phyllostomidae
Exons: 2
Source: RefSeq, a predicted model, not a curated record
UGUCACCCCAAUAAAUUCAAUAAAAAUGAGUAAAAAUAGAACAAUUUAAAUUAAUAACUAUAUGGCACAGUAAUAAAAAUGUCACAAAACAAUAUGCCCUCAUUUUUUAAAAAUUGGUAUACAAUGUGAAAUGUGAAUGUGCAUCUAUGUUUGUGUAUUUAUGUACAUAAACUAGAGGAAAAGAAGAGAAUAAAAACUAAACACUAAAAUGUUAGUAAUUACUACAUGGUAGAAUUAUAGACUUUUACUUUCUUCUUUAUGCCUUCCUGUGCUUUCCAGAUUAGAAACACAUACCUAAAUACAAUAAAUAACUUUUUAAAAUAAAACCUUCCAGCAUUUGUCAUUGAUGGUAUAAGCCAACAAUCUCAACUUAAUCUAAUAAGCAAUACAACGAAGUUAUAAAAGUUAUUUCUUAAGGCUAAAUUUGGUAUCUGAAAAAAUUUAAAUUCUUACCUAUUCUGAACCAAUCACCCUGUUACUAUAGUAACAGUUAAAUAACAGCAGUAUAUAUAAAAAGUUCUAUUUAGAUAAAGGGAAGAUGAAGCUUAUUAAUCACUAGUAUUCAGAAUACAUCAUGUACAGAUUCACUUUUCUUUAGAAAUAGUCAAAAAUCUAUGUGUAAAGCCUUUGAUCUCAUUAAAUUUUUGAAUUACAGACCCUUUAUAACUGACUGACAAAGGAUAAAAGGCCAAUUCAUAUUCUGAAUUUUCUGAAAAACUUUUCUAAUAUUCUAAUGCUGAAUUUUAUUAAUCUGGACAUAGAGUAUAAAUCUACUGAAUAGACAAAUGCUCCUCCCCCAAAGAAAUUUCCCAUUUAUAAAGAACGACAUAUUCAAAGGCUUAUUCUAGACUGGAAACACUAUCAAAACAACACAGUACAGUCACUUGGGAAAACAGUUUAAAAGUUUCUUUAAAAACCAAACAGCAACUACCAUAUGACCUAGGAAUCACACUCCUGGGCAAUUACCCUAGAAAAAUAAAAACAUUCACACAAAAAGCUGCAUGUGAAUACUUAUAGCAGCUUUAUAUGCAAUAGCCAAAAACUGGAAAUGAGGCAGAUGUCCUCCAAUGGGUAAAUAGUUAAACAAAUUAAUAUAGCCAUACCGUGGAACACUAUUCAGCAAUAAAGAAUGAACUACAGACAUUUGCCAACAACUUAAAUAAAUCUUUAGAAAACUAUGCUGAGUGAAACAGCUAAUCACAAAUAGUAUACACUAUAUGAUUCUAUUUACAUACCAUUCUUAAAAGGACUAUAGAAAUUAUAGAAUCAGAGGAAUAAAGAAGAGAUUGCCAGAGGUUAACUGGGAGGAAGAGUGGUAAGAGUAAAAGAAGGGGAUUAGUUACAAAAGGGCUACAUGAGGGAUCCCUGUGGUGAAGGAAAUGUUCUCUGUCUUAACUAUAGUAAAUACCAAUGUAAAUACCCUAAUUUUGAUACUACUGCAGUUUUGUAAGAUAACAAUACUGAGAGAAACUGAGUAGAGGGUACAUUAGAUUUCUCAAUUAUUUCUUACAACUGCAUAUUAAUCCAUGAUUGUUUCAAAAUAAAAAGUUCAAUCUAAAAAUACUACAGCAUUUUAAGGGCACUCUCCAACACAGAUUACAUGAAAAUCAAAGACCUUCUCUUCAGGAAUUUACAAUCUAAACCAGAAAACACAAA